This 253-nucleotide ribosomal RNA is filed under the name uncultured bacterium. Its description in RNAcentral is "partial 16S ribosomal RNA". It matches the Rfam family "Bacterial small subunit ribosomal RNA", at positions 524 to 776 of the family's 1533-position model. The record is from RNAcentral.
UACGUAGGGCGCAAGCGUUGUCCGGAUUUACUGGGCGUAAAGAGCGCGCAGGCGGUCGUUCAAGUCGAGUGUGAAAGCCCCCGGCUCAACUGGGGAGGGUCAUUCGAUACUGAUCGACUUGAAGGCAGGAGAGGGAAGUGGAAUUCCCGGUGUAGUGGUGAAAUGCGUAGAUAUCGGGAGGAACACCAGUGGCGAAGGCGACUUCCUGGCCUGUUCUUGACGCUGAGGCGCGAAAGCUAGGGGAGCAAACGGG